CCUACGGGGGGCAGCAGUGAGGAAUAUUGGUCAAUGGACGAGAGUCUGAACCGGCCAAGUAGCGUGAAGGAUGACUGCCCUAUGGGUUGUAAACUUCUUUUAUAUGGGAAUAAAAUGUUCCACGUGUGGGAUUUUGUAUGUACCAUAUGAAUAAGGAUCGGCUAACUCCGUGCCAGCAGCCGCGGUAAUACGGAGGAUCCGAGCGUUAUCCGGAUUUAUUGGGUUUAAAGGGAGCGUAGGUGGAUUGUUAAGUCAGUUGUGAAAGUUUGCGGCUCAACCGUAAAAUUGCAGUUGAAACUGGCAGUCUUGAGUGCAGUAGAGGUGGGCGGAAUUCGUGGUGUAGCGGUGAAAUGCUUAGAUAUCACGAAGAACUCCGAUUGCGAAGGCAGUUCACUGGACUGCAACUGACACUGAGGCUCGAAAGUGUGGGUAUCAAACAGGAUUAGAUACCCUAGUAGUC
Molecule: ribosomal RNA, 460 nt
Filed under: uncultured bacterium
Lineage: Bacteria
Description: partial 16S ribosomal RNA
Rfam family: Bacterial small subunit ribosomal RNA
Source: RNAcentral